UACGGAAGGCAGCAGUGGGGAAUAUUGCACAAUGGGCGAAAGCCUGAUGCAGCUAUGCCGCGUGUAUGAAGAAGGCCUUAGGGUUGUAAAGUACUUUCAUCGGGGAGGAAAAAACAAAACUAAUAAUUUUAUUUCUUGACGUUACCCGAAAAAGAAGCACCGGCUAACUCCGUGCCAGCAGCCGCGGUAAUACGGAGGGUGCUAGCGUUAAUCAGAAUUACUGGGCGUAAAGAGCACGUAGGUGGUUUUUUUAAGUCAGAUGUGAAAUCCCCUGGGGCUUAACCUGGAAACUGCAUUUUGAAACUGAAAUACUAGAGUAUCGUAGAGGGAGGUAGAAUUCUAGGUGUAGCGGUGAAAUGCGUAGAUAUCUGGAGGAAUACCUGUGGCGAAAGCGGCCUCCUAAACGAAUACUGACACUGAGGUGCGAAAGGCGUGGGGAGCAAACAGGGAUUUAGAUACC
This 460-nucleotide ribosomal RNA is filed under the name uncultured bacterium. RNAcentral's name for it is "bacterial SSU rRNA". It matches the Rfam family "Bacterial small subunit ribosomal RNA", at positions 340 to 786 of the family's 1533-position model. The record is from RNAcentral.